This 1576-nucleotide long non-coding RNA is filed under the name Brassica napus (rape). Its description in RNAcentral is "long non-coding RNA (BNAP_LNC015781)". The record is from RNAcentral. Lineage: Eukaryota; Viridiplantae; Streptophyta; Magnoliopsida; Brassicales; Brassicaceae.
UAAUUAAGUCUAUAAAUUUAUACAACUAGUUUUAUAUUUGUGAUCCUAAAUAGUAGAAUUGGUGAACCAUAUGACUUGUUUUUUUUCAGAGAUUUAUGUUGGGCAUUAGUCAUAGAUGAACUUGUGAGAGUUGUCAAAUACAUCAAAAUACAUGAUAGGGUGACGAUAGAGUAUUCUAUACAAGAUAUAGUAGACUUCCUUAAUCCAGAAAAAACUUUAUCGGCUAAAGAACAAAACCCAAAUAGAAUCAAAAUUGGACCAAAACCCUGGAUUGAAAUUAAAACUCCUUGAGCAUCAGACCGUUGCAAGGGAAGAUGAGGCACGUGUGACAGGCUGGAGAAGAGCUGGAUAAAGCAAAAGAAGCUUUAUGCACAAGGAAGAAGCUCAUUGGAUGGUUUGAAUUAAAGCAAACCUUAUGCUUCCAACACUUUGAACGUGAUGACAAGUAAAAUUAGACAACUUUGCCAUGGUUCUCUAUGAUGGUAUCUUCAGUGAUGGUGGAGAUAGUGAAGGUACGGUGAUUGCUAUUAAUGGCUUCAAUCAAUUUGAGAGCUCUCCAUGUUUUGGGUGGACUGUCCGAGUGAUUUUUGCCCACGAGGACAGUACAUCAGUACACAUAUCAGCACGUUGGCCCUUCCCGUGGACUAUCCGUGUUAGGAUAAAAUGGUAUUUUAAAAUAUAUUUAAAUAAUAUUAACUAUUUUAUUAAAAAUUAAAAUACUAAAUUUCAUAAAACAUUGUUUUUGUUUUUUUCUACUUUCCGGUACUAAGUCCCGAUAUGUUCUAAUACCAAUUUUCAAAGAAUAUUUAUUAUUAUUGUAAACUACUGUAAGAAUCAUGUGAUUUUUAAUAGAAUAAUUAUUAAAGCCUUGCUUGAAAGCUUAUCAAAAAUUCUUUCUCAAAAAUAUAAAACUUAUAGAAAAUAAUGGGAAAUUAUAAAAUGGAAUUUUUCUAGCAUCCGAUAAAGGUUCUAAAUUUCUAAUACUCCAUCCAUUUUUAAUGGGCAACUUUUUAAGAUUGUACAUACAAUAUUGUUUUAAACAAAAUUCUGCAUUUUAAACAAAAAAAUCAUAAAUUAUUCAUAUAAUCGUAGUUCGAUCAAUGAUAAAACACAUUACAGAAUACAAAAGAUAAUAUAAUAUAAAAGGCUAAUAAAUUUUGCAUUAAAAUUGAAAACAUCAUCGAUUUUGGAAAACAAAUUCUCUCUAAAACGUUAAAUAUUAAAAUAAACGAAGGAAGUAUAAAUCUAUAAUUUUGAAUUUGGAUUAAAGACUUCACAAAACACAUUAAUAUAUCAUGUGAUUUUAGCUUAGAAACCAUACUUACUAAUUACUAAAACGAAGAUAAGCAAAAGGAUUCGCGAUAUAGAGACAACUACUUGAUUGAUUACAUGUUUAAAACUCAGCUUUAAGUUAACAAUAUACAAUAUAGAGAAAGAGCGAGACGUACCAGAUCUUGGACAACGAAACAAUGAAGAAAAUUUGUAAAUGACCAAGUUUAAUUAGCUGUUUGUUUAAAUCUUAUGAAAAUUUGAAAACAACCUAAAAUGUUCAAUAAAUAAUGAAAAUAAUAGAGUG